This 374-nucleotide ribosomal RNA is filed under the name uncultured organism. RNAcentral describes it as "bacterial SSU rRNA". It matches the Rfam family "Bacterial small subunit ribosomal RNA", at positions 526 to 896 of the family's 1533-position model. The record is from RNAcentral.
CGUAGGGGGCAAGCGUUGUUCGGAAUUACUGGGCGUAAAGGGCGCGUAGGCGGCAGGUCAAGUCGGGAGUGAAAGCCCGGGGCUCAACCCCGGAACGUCUUUCGAAACUGGCCAGCUUGAGUGCGGAAGAGGCAACUGGAAUUCCCAGUGUAGCGGUGAAAUGCGUAGAUAUUGGGAAGAACACCUGAGGCGAAGGCGGGUUGCUGGGCCGACACUGACGCUGAGGCGCGAAAGCCAGGGGAGCAAACGGGAUUAGAUACCCCGGUAGUCCUGGCCCUAGACGAUGGAUACUUGGUGUGUGGUGUUCUCUAAGUCCCCGCGUGCCGGAGCUAACGCGGUAAGUAUCCCGCCUGGGGAGUACGGUCGCAAGGCUG